CUCGAGUGGCGAACGGGUGAGUAACACGUGGGUGAUCUGCCUUGCACUUCGGGAUAAGCUUGGGAAACUGGGUCUAAUACCGGAUAGGACAGCUGUUUAGUGUCAGUUGUGGAAAGUUUUUUCGGUGCAAGAUGAGCUCGCGGCCUAUCAGCUUGUUGGUGGGGUAAUGGCCUACCAAGGCGUCGACGGGUAGCCGGCCUGAGAGGGUGUACGGCCACAUUGGGACUGAGAUACGGCCCAGACUCCUACGGGAGGCAGCAGUGGGGAAUAUUGCACAAUGGGCGGAAGCCUGAUGCAGCGACGCCGCGUGGGGGAUGAAGGCCUUCGGGUUGUAAACUCCUUUCGACAGGGACGAAGCGUAAGUGACGGUACCUGUAUAAGAAGCACCGGCUAACUACGUGCCAGCAGCCGCGGUAAUACGUAGGGUGCGAGCGUUGUCCGGAAUUACUGGGCGUAAAGAGCUCGUAGGUGGUUUGUCGCGUCGUCUGUGAAAUUCCGGGGCUUAACUCCGGGCGUGCAGGCGAUACGGGCUGACUUGAGUGCUGUAGGGGAGACUGGAAUUCCUGGUGUAGCGGUGAAAUGCGCAGAUAUCAGGAGGAACACCGAUGGCGAAGGCAGGUCUCUGGGCAGUAACUGACGCUGAGGAGCGAAAGCAUGGGUAGCGAACAGGAUUAGAUACCCUGGUAGUCCAUGCCGUAAACGGUGGGCGCUAGGUGUAGGGGGCUUCCACGUCUUCUGUGCCGUAGCUAACGCAUUAAGCGCCCCGCCUGGGGAGUACGGCCG
Molecule: ribosomal RNA, 783 nt
Filed under: uncultured Actinomycetes bacterium
Lineage: Bacteria; Bacillati; Actinomycetota; Actinomycetes
Description: bacterial SSU rRNA
Rfam family: Bacterial small subunit ribosomal RNA
Source: RNAcentral